CAGGGAGACAACACAAUGAUUUUGAUGCCUGAGUGCUUUUAUUCUUAGGCCGAAAUCCUGUCACCUUAGGUCGAUCGGUACCUCAGCUUUGAAGUCAAGGAUCAGCAGCAAUGUUGAUUGCUUGAUGGAGAUUUUCAGUUCCUAAACUUUGUCUAGGUCACACCCCAAAAGGGAUGAGACUCCUGGGCCAUUAGCUCAGGUGGUUAGAGCGCACCCCUGAUAAGGGUGAGGUCCCUGGUUCAAGUCCAGGAUGGCCCAUUCGGUGUUGGGGGUUUAGCUCAGUUGGUAGAGCGCCUGCUUUGCAAGCAGGAUGUCAGGAGUUCGAGUCUCCUAACCUCCACUGACCGAACUUGAUUCCCAUCUCCAAUUUUUUGGAGUUGAGCUCGAAUGGAGUGUGAUUUAGAUGUGUCCGCUGGAUGACCCCAGCUUCCUGUCAUUCCAAGUUUUAGGUUGAUGCCUUGAAUUUGGUUGAUAAGAUGCUGGGGCUCAGAUCAAAUGAUCAAGCAAUUGAUGAUUUGAUUUGAAGUUCUAGCAGAACCUUGACAACUGCAUAGGUGAGUCUGGGAAAAACAAAGCAUCUUACAGAUGCAUUGUUUUGAAUCUGAUCUUCUGAAAGGGAGAUUGGAUCUAGAACAAUGAAAAUUCUUUUGAGCAAGAGCCGAGGCUCUUGAGCGUCUUUUGAUUUGGUGGUCGAGCCAAUCACAGUUUGGAUCUUGGUUUUUUAGUAUAAAAAACUUGAGAAUCUGCUUUCUACGCCGGUAGCCGUUCAGGAGGGUUAUAUUG
Molecule: transfer RNA, 783 nt
Filed under: uncultured Synechococcus sp.
Lineage: Bacteria; Bacillati; Cyanobacteriota; Cyanophyceae; Synechococcales; Synechococcaceae
Description: 16S-23S ribosomal RNA intergenic spacer
Rfam family: tRNA (bases 268-340)
Source: RNAcentral